AACGAACGUUAGCGGCGCGCCUAACACAUGCAAGUCGCACGAGAAAGGGCUUCGGCCCCAGUAAAGUGGCGCACGGGUGAGUAACACGUGGGUAACCUUCCCUUGAGCGGGGGAUAACAUUCCGAAAGGAGUGCUAAUACCGCAUAAGACCACGGCCUCGAAAGAGGCUGAGGUCAAAGCAGGCCUCUUCAUGAAAGCUUGCACUCGAGGAUGGGCCCGCGUCCCAUCAGCUAGUUGGUAGGGUAAUGGCCUACCAAGGCGAAGACGGGUAGCUGGUCUGAGAGGAUGAUCAGCCACACUGGAACUGAGACACGGUCCAGACUCCUACGGGAGGCAGCAGUGGGGAAUCUUGCGCAAUGGACGAAAGUCUGACGCAGCGACGCCGCGUGGGUGAUGAAGGCC
This 402-nucleotide ribosomal RNA is filed under the name uncultured bacterium. Its description in RNAcentral is "bacterial SSU rRNA". It matches the Rfam family "Bacterial small subunit ribosomal RNA", at positions 29 to 416 of the family's 1533-position model. The record is from RNAcentral.